This 253-nucleotide ribosomal RNA is filed under the name uncultured bacterium. RNAcentral describes it as "partial 16S ribosomal RNA". It matches the Rfam family "Bacterial small subunit ribosomal RNA", at positions 524 to 776 of the family's 1533-position model. The record is from RNAcentral.
UACGAAGGGGGCUAGCGUUGUUCGGAAUUACUGGGCGUAAAGGGUUCGUAGGUGGCCUACUAAGUCAGACGUGAAAUCCCUCAGCUUAACUGGGGAACUGCGUCUGAUACUGGGGGGCUUGAGUGCAGGAGAGGAACGCGGAAUUCCAGGUGUAGCGGUGAAAUGCGUAGAUAUCUGGAGGAACACCGGUGGCGAAGGCGGCGUUCUGGACUGCAACUGACACUGAUGAACGAAAGCCAGGGGAGCAAACGGG